Molecule: ribosomal RNA, 63 nt
Filed under: Alternaria bornmuelleri
Lineage: Eukaryota; Fungi; Ascomycota; Dothideomycetes; Pleosporales; Pleosporaceae
Also listed under: 1 other name
Description: partial 28S ribosomal RNA
Source: RNAcentral
GUCCACCAAGCCACAUUUUCAACUUUUGACCUCGGAUCAGGUAGGGAUACCCGCUGAACUUAA